This 459-nucleotide ribosomal RNA is filed under the name uncultured bacterium. Its description in RNAcentral is "bacterial SSU rRNA". It matches the Rfam family "Bacterial small subunit ribosomal RNA", at positions 39 to 489 of the family's 1533-position model. The record is from RNAcentral.
GCGGCAUGCUUAACACAUGCAAGUCGAACGGUAACAGUGCUAGCUUGCUAGCGCUGACGAGUGGCGGACGGGUGAGUAACGCGUAGUGUAUCUGCCCAGUAGUGGGGGACAACCAGAAGAAAUUCUGGCUAAUACCGCAUACGCCCUACGGGGGAAAGAGGGGGACCUUCGGGCCUCUCGCUAUUGGAUGAGCCUGCGUUGGAUUAGCUUGUUGGUGAGGUAAUGGCUCACCAAGGCUACGAUCCAUAGCUGGUCUGAGAGGACGAUCAGCCACACUGGGACUGAGACACGGCCCAGACUCCUACGGGAGGCAGCAGUGGGGAAUAUUGGACAAUGGGCGAAAGCCUGAUCCAGCAAUGCCGCGUGUGUGAAGAAGGCCUGCGGGUUGUAAAGCACUUUCAAUUGGGAAGAAAAGCUUGGAGAUAAUACCUCCGAGUCUUGACGUUACCUUUAGAAGAA